Molecule: ribosomal RNA, 440 nt
Filed under: uncultured bacterium
Lineage: Bacteria
Description: partial 16S ribosomal RNA
Rfam family: Bacterial small subunit ribosomal RNA
Source: RNAcentral
CCUACGGGUGGCAGCAGUGGGGAAUAUUGCACAAUGGGGGAAACCCUGAUGCAGCGACGCCGCGUGAGUGAAGAAGUAUCUCGGUACGUAAAGCUCUAUCAGCAGGGAAGAAAAUGACGGUACCUGACUAAGAAGCCCCGGCUAACUACGUGCCAGCAGCCGCGGUAAUACGGAGGGGGGCAGCGUUAUCAGGAUUUACUGGGUGUAAAGGGAGCGGAGACGGCAGCACAAGUCUGGAGUGAAAUCCCGGGGCUUAACCCCCGAACUGCUUUGGAAACUGGGCGUCUGGAGUGCAGGAGGGGUAAGCGGAAUUCCUGGUGUAGCGGUGAAAUGCGUAGAUAUUAGGAGGAACACCGGUGGCGAAGGCGGCUUACUGGACUGUAACUGACGUUGAGGCUCGAAAGCGUGGGGAGCAAACAGGAUUAGAUACCCCGGUAGUC